AAUUAAUUUAUUAUUUUUUUAUAUGGGAUUUUCAUUUGUUAAAAAAAAAAAUUUAAUUUUUAUUAUUAUAAAGAAAAAAUAUAAAUUUAUUAUAGAUAAUAGUAUUGUAAAAGAAUUAUUUUUAAUUAAAAUAAAGAAAAAUUUAAGUUUUGUACCUUGUGUAUCAGGGUUAAUUAAUUAAGAGAUUUUUAAUAAUUUUUCUCGAAUUUAAAAGAGUUAAUUAUUUAUAUAUUUAAUUGUUAAAUAAAUUUUUAAAAUAAAUAGUUAGUAAUGAAACGUUAUUCGUUUUUAAAUAUAUCUAGUUUUAAAAGAAAAAAAUUAAAUUUUAUUAUUAAUAUAUUAAAAAUUUAAAUUUUAAAUUUUUUAUUAUUAAUAUUUUAUUUUAUUAGGGAUAAGCUUAAUGAAAUAUUUUUAUAAUUUAUUAUGAAUAUUUAAUAAUUUAUAAGAUUAAAAAUUUCUAAUUAUAAUAAUUUGUUAUAAUUAAUUAUUAAUUAAAUAAUAUUUAUAUUAAAUUUAAUUGAUUUAUUUUAAUGUAAUUUAAAAUUUUUUAAAAUUAGCAAUAAUGAUAAAAUUAGUAUAAAAAUUUUUAAAAUUAUUUUUUUAUAAAAGGUUAAUUUAAGGAAUUCGGCAAAUUAAUUUUUCACCUGUUUAUUAAAAACAUGUCUUUUUGAUAAUAAUUUAAAGUCUAAUCUGCCCACUGAGUUUUUAAAUGGCCGCGGUAUUUUGACCGUGCAAAGGUAGCAUAAUCAUUAGUUUUUUAAUUGAAAGCUGGUAUGAAUGAUUGGAUGAGAAAAUAACUGUCUCAAAUUAAUUUAUAUAGAAUUUUAUUUUUAAGUUAAAAAGCUUAAAUUUAAUUUAAAGACGAGAAGACCCUAUAGAGUUUAAUAAAUAAAUAUAUUUAAUUCUUUAGUUUUUAGUAUUUAAUUUUUAUUUAUUUAUUUUGUUGGGGUGAUAGAAAAAUUUAAUUAACUUUUUUUGUAUUUUUACAUUAAUAAAUGAUUUUAUGAUCCAUAAUUUAUGAUUAUAAGAUUAAAUUACCUUAGGGAUAACAGCGUAAUUUUUUUUAAGAGUUCAAAUCGAAAAAAGAGAUUGCGACCUCGAUGUUGGAUUAAAGUAAAUUUUCGGUGCAGUAGCUGAAAUAUUAGGUCUGUUCGACCUUUAAAUCUUUACAUGAUCUGAGUUUAAACCGGUGUGAGCCAGGUUGGUUUCUAUCUUUAAUAAAAUUAUAUAUUUUAGUACGAAAGGACCAAGUAUAUAUUAAAUUAAUUUAUUUUGAAUAAUAUU
This 1284-nucleotide ribosomal RNA is filed under the name Cleridae sp. 1 KM-2017. RNAcentral's name for it is "16S ribosomal RNA". The stretch from base 1045 to 1203 matches the Rfam family "Archaeal large subunit ribosomal RNA", at positions 2542 to 2701 of the family's 2987-position model. Lineage: Eukaryota; Metazoa; Arthropoda; Insecta; Coleoptera; Cleridae. The record is from RNAcentral.